AGAGGCAACAAGUGAAGAGGAAGAUAUAUUUGAUAGUGAUGAUUCACAAGAUUAGUUCCAAACCUAAGAAGAGGACGAAGAGGAAGAUGAGGAUGAUUGAGAAUAUUAGUUUGUCGAUUUGUUUUGUUUAUUUACAAUACUAUAAUUGGUUUAUGAUUUUUAUAUUAUACUAUUUAGAAAAUUCAGAAUAUUAUUUUGUCUCCAUGGAUAGCAAGAGAUUAUAUAUGCUACGAACUCAAACCUAUGAUGUUUGUUGUGCUAUUUUAUUCUCUAGAAGUUUAUCAGUUGAACAUGAAGUGUGUAGGCCUUUGUGUAAUCCUUAUUUCCAUUCAUUUGAUUUUGUCCAAGCUAGUGCAAUAUUUAUUUUUCAGUUGCUGGUAGUUGGUGUGCUCUAUCUUAUGCAAAGAAAUGAGGAUCCAAAGUUAUCAUCUGUAAGUUGGAGACUAGUAGUGCCUUCUUAAGCUUAAAAGUUAACUGAAGAAGGGACAUGGAGAAUGAGUAGGUACAGUUAAGAAAGUUGCCCAAUUCUGUGCCAAGAUUACUUUAAUAUCUAAAUCAUGGUCAGCCGAAAUACUUAUCACUAUAUUUAUUCAUGUUUUGUACAGUGAUUACAUCACUAAUACAUUAUAUUAAUGUUCUUUGUUUCUUGCAGAUGUCAGGUGUAGGAUCUAAAAGAGAUGGACAAUCUAAUGAACAAUUUUGAAAGAAAGAAACAAGAAUUAGCAACUUCUCAAAAUGCAUCAGCUGCGGAAGGAGACAGUAAUCCAGCUAGUCAACCUUCUCAAUUAAGUGAAAUUGGAUAUUUGGGUGCAAGCUGUUGGUGGAAAGAAAAAAGGAAGAGUUGCAGGUCUUAGCUCCUUAGGUCGAUCUGUAAAAGCAAAUAAGCAAUCAACAUCGGCUUUAACGAGAGAAAUUGAUGAGAUGAUUAAAUCCUAGGUACAUGCUUCCAAUGCGGACUUAUAUGCUCAGUUGCAGGAAGAGCGCCGCAAAAAUAAGAGGAUGAGGAAGGAAUUAGACUUAUUGAAGAAGCAUGUAUACAACGCAUCAUCUACAAAUGAGCGAUCAUCUCAAGAAGACAAUCAAGGUUAUCAAAAUAAAAUUGGUGACAACUCUGUUAAUGUGGAUGGAAGUGAUUCUGACACAGAAAACGUGAAUGAAAGUGACUAUGAUCAAGAAUAAGAUAGUUGAUAGUACUAUUUGGGAUUCACUUUCGAGAUAUUUUGUUUGUUUUUGAACUAAGACACAUUAUUGGUAUUGAUGUUAUGAAUUGUGUUUUUUCUUGGUUAUGAUGAUUUAUAUUAGACUUA
Long non-coding RNA from Lycium ferocissimum, 1307 nucleotides. RefSeq lists it as uncharacterized. The record is from RefSeq and is a predicted model, not a curated record. The transcript is spliced from 2 exons. NCBI's taxonomy places the organism in Eukaryota, Viridiplantae, Streptophyta, Magnoliopsida, Solanales, Solanaceae.